UGAGAGGUGCAGGAGCAGUGAGAGGUGCAGGAGCAGUGAGAGAUGCAGUGAGAGGUGCAGGAGCAGUGAGAGGAGCAGGGGCAGUGAGAGAUGCAGUGAGAGAUGCAGUGAGAGGUGCAGGAGCAGUGAGAGAUGCAGUGAGAGGAUCAG
This is a long non-coding RNA of Xyrauchen texanus (razorback sucker), 150 nucleotides long. RefSeq lists it as uncharacterized. The record is from RefSeq and is a predicted model, not a curated record. The transcript is spliced from 3 exons. Lineage: Eukaryota; Metazoa; Chordata; Actinopteri; Cypriniformes; Catostomidae.